Long non-coding RNA from Portunus trituberculatus (swimming crab), 641 nucleotides. RefSeq lists it as uncharacterized. The transcript is spliced from 4 exons. Lineage: Eukaryota; Metazoa; Arthropoda; Malacostraca; Decapoda; Portunidae. The record is from RefSeq and is a predicted model, not a curated record.
UGAUGGGCUCGUUGUGCGGCCGUGAGUUGUGCUCCACCAUCCUCUGGUACAGAGUCACCAGGUUACUCCAGCGACCCUGAACUUGAUCAGCAGUAUAACUGUACCAAGGAAAAUACACUAAAUACUAGCAAAUGUAUUAGAUUUACUGAGGACGUCACAUCAAGUGUCCACAAUCAGUACAUUAAUGGAGUGAGCCAGACUUGAUGGAUGUGACUUACCGAGACGCUGGCUGUAGGGAGCAUCAUGACGCACCCGCCGACCAAACGUGUUGUCCUUCAUGAGGCGGUUAAGUGUGCUCCAGAAGAGGAUCCACUUGGGUUUCCUUGAUGGUUGAAAGCCCAACUUCUCCCUCACUCAUUUCUGAGGUGUGCACCAGCUGGACCUUGGGGGGUGGGUGUUCCUGAAGUGCUGUCCGCUUCAUCCUUUCUCCAAGGAUACUGGCUACGGCUUCUUCCAUGGCUGCCUCAGAUUCUCCAGCCUCCCAUGUUCCUGCUGCAAGGAUAAAACUGAGUAAUGAAAUGACAGUUUCUGAGCUACACACUUUCUGAGAAGCUUCUAUUUCAUGAACAAAUAAGACUCCAGAUAUCACCUAUGUGUAUUUCUGUUGACUGCGGCACAUCCAGAGUGGAAGUAGUGGGCUG